GUUUAAUAUAUAGUUUUAAGAAUUCUUUCAAAUGAACUAAACUAUUUUUUUAUUGCCAAUGUCCUUUAAUUUAAAAAAGAAAAGUGGUUGCACCUGCAGAAACCCAGUUUGGACCCAUAUUGAUCGCUCACUCUCAAGAUAAAACAUUAAUGUGACCCAUUUCUUGACGUGACAUAAUCCAAGAUCGCAAACAGCUCACUUUUUUCAGUCGAAAUAUUUGGAAACCUAAGCAAGAUAUAAACAAUCUGUAAUGGAGUUUUAUAAUAUAUAGUUUUGAG
This is a non-coding RNA of Paramuricea clavata, 278 nucleotides long. Lineage: Eukaryota; Metazoa; Cnidaria; Anthozoa; Malacalcyonacea; Plexauridae. The record is from the annotation of a GenBank genome assembly.